This is a long non-coding RNA of Spea bombifrons (plains spadefoot toad), 316 nucleotides long. RefSeq lists it as uncharacterized. The record is from RefSeq and is a predicted model, not a curated record. The transcript has 3 exons. Lineage: Eukaryota; Metazoa; Chordata; Amphibia; Anura; Pelobatidae.
CACAGGAAACACUGCAACCACCACUGUUAGUGGGAGUGCAGGACCUGGCCCUGGGAACAACCAACCUGGAGUAACCACCACCAGGCCUAAUGACGACAGCGCGAUCCCGUUCUGGGCGAUUAUAUUAAUAAGCAUGGCCUCUAUAAUAGCUUUUGUAUUCCUCUUGUGUGGUUUCUGCGCGGUAAUGACCACCCUACGUCCCAGUGGGGGUUUUGGUUUAAGUUGUCCCAGUUAUUUCCCCCACUUUACUUUUGGACGAGGAAGUUCCGUGUCUCUUCCUACCACAAAUCGUCCAUGUCCACCACGACGUACGAGC